CAAGCAUUAACCUUCAAAUAAAACUUCAAACAAGCAACAGAUUUAGAAUCUUGAACAACUUUAGGGAAUAAAUUCCAAAGAUUAUCACCAGUCUAACAGACUGCUUUCUACUCUCCACUUAUGCCUCUUCAGGUCAUUAGAUCUUUGAGCAAAUAGCGCUGAUGAAGAGUGCAUGGCUGAUUUCAAUCAGAAUGCUGAAAUUCAUGGACUGGCAUGCGAUGCUCUGAAUAUCCUGGGAGCAUGGAAAAAAGCUUUAUGACCAAAUCUUUGUCCUUUUACGGGCUUUCUGACUACUACAUUGCUUUCAUCACUACUAUUCCCACUUAUUACAAGCCAUGCCACUCAAGCACAGAUCAGCUGACGUCAGUGGAAAUUCCAGGUGCAGAAUGAAUACAGAACACAGCCUGUUGUCAUUUUGGAAAGUAACAAAAUAUAACAUGGGCAUUUGUGAAGGGUUUCUAGAUGCAAAGGUUGCAAAACACAUCAUACCAUCAUACUUGGUAAGAGUUCACAAGAGUUAGGAGUUUCUCAAACUAGUAAACAGAAUUCAAGGCAAAAUAGUUUGUGUAUUUCUAAGAUUAUAAAAGCAUCAGCUAUAUAUCUUUCCCUUGCAAAUGGCAGCCAAGAAUCAUGAGAUGAAAGAUGUGUGUUAGCCCUGCUGCUCACGUCACCAGGUUACUUUUCUAUGAGGAUAUAUUCAUCAUUUUGUUUACAAGGAGAUUUAAAAAAAAAAAAAAAAAAAAAAAGGAGAAAAUGAAUGGGCAUGGCAGAUUUUAAAUAAUGAUUAAAAUUAUUAAAUUAUUUUAAAAAAAGAUGUUAUUGAUUUAAUUGUACUUCUCUGAUUGCUAU
Molecule: long non-coding RNA, 849 nt
Filed under: Coturnix japonica (Japanese quail)
Lineage: Eukaryota; Metazoa; Chordata; Aves; Galliformes; Phasianidae
Description: lncRNA (ENSCJPG00005007003.1)
Source: RNAcentral